Molecule: ribosomal RNA, 399 nt
Filed under: uncultured bacterium
Lineage: Bacteria
Description: bacterial SSU rRNA
Rfam family: Bacterial small subunit ribosomal RNA
Source: RNAcentral
GAAUAUUGGACAAUGGGCGAAAGCCUGAUCCAGCCAUGCCGCGUGAGUGAUGAAGGCCUUAGGGUUGUAAAGCUCUUUUAGCAGGGAAGAUAAUGACGGUACCUGCAGAAAAAGCCCCGGCUAACUUCGUGCCAGCAGCCGCGGUAAUACGAAGGGGGCUAGCGUUGCUCGGAAUUACUGGGCGUAAAGCGCACGUAGGCGGACUCUUAAGUCGGUGGUGAAAUCCUGGAGCUCAACUCCAGAACUGCCUUCGAUACUGGGAGCCUUGAGUUCGGGAGAGGUGAGUGGAACUGCGAGUGUAGAGGUGAAAUUCGUAGAUAUUCGCAAGAACACCAGUGGCGAAGGCGGCUCACUGGCCCGAUACUGACGCUGAGGUGCGAAAGCGUGGGGAGCAAACAG